RNAcentral lists this long non-coding RNA (1183 nucleotides) under Homo sapiens (human). RNAcentral describes it as "HSALNT0310202". Lineage: Eukaryota; Metazoa; Chordata; Mammalia; Primates; Hominidae. The record is from RNAcentral.
UUGAAUAGUGAUGCCUAUCUGUCUGUGUCAGGACGUAGUAAGGAAGCCCAUGUCUAGUCUGGUACCUUUAAACCAGGACGUCUCCUACUUUUCAAAAUGACUCAAAAGUUGAGCUAGCCUUAUUUUAAAAACUAAAAGUUCAAAAUCAGUGGUGACAUGAGGACUUAUUUAUUUAAAGUGCUUAAGCUUUGGUUUUAGAGUUUCUAAGAGAUCUAGUGGAAUUUGCUAUUAUGAAAAGCAUUACCCAUGCUAUUAUGAAAAGCAUGAAAAGAUUAAGAAAUCUGGCUAAAGGUCAGGUGCCCAGCUUCGAGGAAAAGUUGGGCUUUUAGGGAUCAGGAAGCAUUAAAGGCACACAAACUUUACAUUUUGGGAGUCAUUUUGUUGAGUAGGUGAAGUGAGGGAUUUGGUCUUGAUAUUUGGCUGCCCCAUCUCUAUGUGGGAGCUCAAAGUUAAAAACCCACUGUAGGUAAAUGAGAAGGACAGCUCUUGAACCUGGGCCAGUCUAUAUUCCUUCUGUGAAGUACUAACAGCCAGGCUAUGUAGCCUGGGUGGGAGCCCAGAUAAUGUGAGCUGGUAAAGGUUAUUGGAAAAGUGCCAAGAAAUACCAAGCUUUUGGUUUGUAACCACUAUAAAAAGUUUAUGAACAUGUCAGAGGAAUGGAUGAGUGAUUUGUGAGGUCUUAACUAGAUACCCCAGUUUCGUCCUUGUUUUGGCUCCUUUUCAGAAUGCCAGGAGAGUGCAUGCAGGGAUUCCAUCUGAUCACCCUCAGUGCUCUCUCUCUGGUCCUGCUGGAUAGAUUUAGAUUUUGUCACUAGCUCUUCUUUUUCCUCACUGUGUACCCCACCAAACAAGAUUAGUUCAAGUUAAAAAGAACCUAUUGGAGGUAAACUGGGAGAGCAAGUACUGGAUCUGGGAUGGUCCCUUUCCCAUUUAAUUAGGUCCCUGGUUAUAUGUUCCCAUAGCACCCCAUACUUCCUCUUUCAGAAUAAUCAUUUCCCUUGUAAUGCUCAGCAUCCGUAUCCUGUUUGAUUGCAAACUUGCUAAAGGUAGGUAUUGUUUGUCUUGGACUUCGCUGCCAGUCCUUAGAACAGUGCCUGGGACACAGUGUGUUCUCAAAUAUUUGUUGCUGGAAUAAAUGAAUGAACUAAAUCAGUCUUUUAGGGAUUUAUUGUUAACCACCAUG